CGUAAACGUAAACUACGGUAUUCUCACCGUAUACCAUGCCGCGCGCAUGCGCAUUGACUUUUAGGAGAGAAGAAAGGAAAGAGUAAAGAGGAGGAGCGGCGUCAUGCGCUCGCCUUUCGUUCCCCGCCGCUCAUGCACGCGCGUGGACGCUGCGACGACUGCUUGGCGCGCCGGCGCACCUUGUGUUACGGUACUCGCGAGAAACCGGGCAUGCGCAGAGCGGCGCAGAUACGGCAAGGAACAGCCGGCUCGGCGCCCGAUGCGUCACCAGUCUCGCCAUUUUCGAAGGCUCUGCUAUCGGCGCUGGUUUGGAAUCCGUUGGGCCACGUAUUGUACUCCCGCUGCAGGUGGCGACCUGUGGAACCCAGAGGAGUGCCUUGUUGCUGAUCGCCACAUGUUGGGAGCGGCUAGAGAACGUCACUACAGUAUUCUGCAUGUUAUUCACCAGUUAUUUUUCCUUCCACGUCUGUUAUGCUGAAAGAUUGUAGUCUACUUUGGAAUUCGUUCAAAGAUAUGCCGAGCAGCAGGCCAAGGGAAGCUUGUACCCAUUGCAUCACUGGCGGACGCCCAGCCGCACUGGGGAUCGAACCUCGCACCAUCCGCAUGGCACUUUUGGUAUUAACCCAGACCAUGGACGCAAGGCUGAGAAAAAAAGCAAGGAAAGAGAACCCAAAAAUAUUCAGUUUGACGAAAAAAUCAUGGAUUCUGAAUGGAAUGUUUACACAACUUCAGAGGAUGAUGGUGAAACAAAAGAAGUGAAGCACUAGGGUGGACCUAACAAGGAGUUGGAAGAAAACCUAAUGUUCAACUGAUUUUUGAACACCUAAAAAUGUACAAGAUAGAUCAAACUGUUACAAAUAGAUUAUGAUAAAGUUAUUUAUUGUGCCUGGAAUGGACAUAUGCCAAAUGCAGAAUCCAGGUGUGUGGAGAACUUUAAUAAAUAGCAGUAUUGCCCAUUUCCA
This is a long non-coding RNA of Rhipicephalus sanguineus (brown dog tick), 962 nucleotides long. RefSeq lists it as uncharacterized. The transcript has 6 exons. NCBI's taxonomy places the organism in Eukaryota, Metazoa, Arthropoda, Arachnida, Ixodida, Ixodidae. The record is from RefSeq and is a predicted model, not a curated record.